This 258-nucleotide ribosomal RNA is filed under the name uncultured bacterium. RNAcentral's name for it is "partial 16S ribosomal RNA". It matches the Rfam family "Bacterial small subunit ribosomal RNA", at positions 15 to 263 of the family's 1533-position model. The record is from RNAcentral.
GAUCAUGGCUCAGGAUGAACGCUAGCUACAGGCUUAACACAUGCAAGUCGAGGGGCAUCAGUUUGGUUUGCUUGCAAACCAAAGCUGGCGACCGGCGCACGGGUGAGUAACACGUAUCCAACCUACCUCAUACUCGGGGAUAGCCUUUCGAAAGAAAGAUUAAUAUCCGAUAGCAUAUAUUUCCCGCAUGGGUUUUAUAUUAAAGAAAUUCGGUAUGAGAUGGGGAUGCGUUCCAUUAGUUUGUUGGGGGGUAACGGG